UAGGGAAUCUUCCGCAAUGGGCGAAAGCCUGACGGAGCAACGCCGCGUGAGUGAUGAAGGUCUUAGGAUCGUAAAACUCUGUUAUUAGGGAAGAACAAACGUGUAAGUAACUGUGCACGUCUUGACGGUACCUAAUCAGAAAGCCACGGCUAACUACGUGCCAGCAGCCGCGGUAAUACGUAGGUGGCAAGCGUUAUCCGGAAUUAUUGGGCGUAAAGCGCGCGUAGGCGGUUUUUUAAGUCUGAUGUGAAAGCCCACGGCUCAACCGUGGAGGGUCAUUGGAAACUGGAAAACUUGAGUGCAGAAGAGGAAAGUGGAAUUCCAUGUGUAGCGGUGAAAUGCGCAGAGAUAUGGAGGAACA
Molecule: ribosomal RNA, 361 nt
Filed under: uncultured bacterium
Lineage: Bacteria
Description: partial 16S ribosomal RNA
Rfam family: Bacterial small subunit ribosomal RNA
Source: RNAcentral